RNAcentral lists this ribosomal RNA (525 nucleotides) under uncultured Alphaproteobacteria bacterium. RNAcentral describes it as "bacterial SSU rRNA". It matches the Rfam family "Bacterial small subunit ribosomal RNA", at positions 333 to 877 of the family's 1533-position model. The record is from RNAcentral. Lineage: Bacteria; Pseudomonadati; Pseudomonadota; Alphaproteobacteria.
GGGGGCCUACNGGAGGCAGCAGUAGGGAAUCUUAGNCAAUGGNGGCAACCCUGAUCUAGCCAUGCCGCGUGUGUGAUGAAGGCCCUAGGGUCGUAAAGCACUUUCNCCAGAGAUGAUAAUGACAGUAUCUGNUAAAGAAACCCCGGCUAACUCCGUGCCAGCAGCCGCGGUAAUACGGAGGGGGUUAGCGUUGUUCGGAAUUACUGGGCGUAAAGCGCACGUAGGCGGAUUAGUAAGUUAGAGGUGAAAUCCCAGGGCUCAACCCUGGAACUGCCUUUAAUACUGCUAGUCUUGAGUUCGAGAGAGGUAAGUGGAAUUCCGAGUGUAGAGGUGAAAUUCGUAGAUAUUCGGAGGAACACCAGUGGCGAAGGCGGCUNACUGGCUCGAUACUGACGCUGAGGUGCGAAAGUGUGGGGAGCAAACANGAUUAGAUACCCUGGUAGUCCACACCGUAAACGAUGAAUGCCAGACGUCAGCAAGUAUACUUNUCGGUGUCNCACCUAACGGAUUAAGCAUCCGCCUGGA